UGAUUGAUGAUGAGAACAAGUCUCUGAAUUCUGUGAUGGACUUAUACAAAUGGCAAUCUGAGGUCC
Non-coding RNA from Mesocricetus auratus (golden hamster), 66 nucleotides. The record is from Rfam. NCBI's taxonomy places the organism in Eukaryota, Metazoa, Chordata, Mammalia, Rodentia, Cricetidae.